Molecule: unclassified non-coding RNA, 264 nt
Filed under: plant metagenome
Description: partial contains small subunit ribosomal RNA, internal transcribed spacer 1, and 5.8S ribosomal RNA
Source: RNAcentral
UUUCCGUAGGUGAACCUGCGGAAGGAUCAUUAUUGAAACUUCAUCCGGGGCGCCGCGGCCCUCAUCACCGGUGGAAACGCCGUGCUGCGGGGGCCGCGCGUGCACUCGUCCAAACCAAACCCCUGUGAACCUUACGGGAUGGCCCGGGUUAGCGCCCGGUGCCGUUCCGCUUUAUACAAACACUUAUCAAAGAAUGAACUGAAGGCGGUCUGACCGCUGGAUAACAAACUGAAACAACUUUCAACAACGGAUCUCUUGGCUCUC